UGAAGCGGCAACAGCUCAAAUUUGAAAUCUGGCUUCGGGCCCGAGUUGUAAUUUGUAGAGGAAGCUUUUGGUGAGGCACCUUCUGAGUCCCCUGGAACGGGGCGCCAUAGAGGGUGAGAGCCCCGUAUAGUCGGAUGCCGAUCCAAUGUAAAGCUCCUUCGACGAAGUCGAGGUAGUUUUGGGAAUGCUGCUCAAAAUGGGAGGUAAAAUUUCUUCUAAAGCUAAAUACCGGCCAGAAGACCGAUAGCGCACAAGUAGAGUGAUCGAAAGAUGAAAAGCACUUUGAAAAGAGGGUUAAAUAGCACGUGAAAUUGUUGAAAGGGAAGCGUUUGUGACCAGACUUGCGCCGUUCCGAUCAUCCGGUGUUCUCACCGGUGCACUCGGGACGGCUCAGGCCAGCAUCGGUUUUGCGGGGGGACAAAGGUCCUGGGAACGUAGCUCCUCCGGGAGUGUUAUAGCCCAGGGCGUAAUGCCCUCGCCGGGACCGAGGUUCGCGCAUC
This 500-nucleotide ribosomal RNA is filed under the name Neurospora calospora. RNAcentral's name for it is "eukaryotic LSU rRNA". It matches the Rfam family "Eukaryotic large subunit ribosomal RNA", at positions 94 to 601 of the family's 3401-position model. Lineage: Eukaryota; Fungi; Ascomycota; Sordariomycetes; Sordariales; Sordariaceae. The record is from RNAcentral.